Molecule: long non-coding RNA, 1065 nt
Filed under: Sus scrofa (pig)
Lineage: Eukaryota; Metazoa; Chordata; Mammalia; Artiodactyla; Suidae
Description: lncRNA (ENSSSCG00070000721.1)
Source: RNAcentral
AUACUGGGGCUAAUUUUAGGUAUUACCCGCUUUGGAGUUUAUUUUGGCUUCCAGAAGUUUACAUUUAGGUCUGUAAAAAAGCACAACCUGCAGAGCUGUGUGUGUGUGUGUGUGUGUGUGUGUGUGUGUGUGUGUGUGUGUGUCUGUCUGUGCAUGUGAAACUCAUCAAACUUCUUUAAUAACUCUGAAUAUGACUUGUUUGGGCAUAUUUUCAAUGGAUGGCUAAUUUUGUGCCAGAAUUCAAAUGGAAAUUUAAACCAAAAGAGCUUGCAGAUAAAUAGCAGAGAUUGCUUGCUUUUCACCCCAUUUCUUCUGGUGGUAACUUUUCAAUUGUGAUUUUUUUUUUUAACCCUCCAUAUUUUUUUUUUGCCAGACUUUGAUUUCUAAAGCUUUAUUUUUAGUCUUUGUAAGGCACAGCAUUGAUUGAGCAUGCUGUGUUCUAAUUUUGGUAGCAAUUUUGUAGGUUAGCUCAGUUUCAUAGAAAUUAGAAAGCUGGGGCUCAUGGAAGUGACUUAUUUUAUCCACGUAGCAGGGGGUGGCAGAGUGGAUGACGCCAGGGUCUGUGCUUCUUCAUCUCAAGGCUGGUGCUGUUUCCUUGGUGGGGCUCCAGGUCAAGUGUGGUCUGCAUUAAGGUCCUCCCUGGGGGAUGCUUGUGAAUGACCUGGGUGUGCACAGAGCAGAGUGGGGCUCCAGAGCCUGUACAUGUUGCUGGGUGUGCAGUAAACACACAGAAAACAGUAUAUGCCCACCCUGCUCGUGAGGAGGGAGUUGCUGAGUCUACACUCUGUGCCAUCUACCAUGCAAUUCACCACAGUAAUUUCGAAUAGCUUCUUGGGUCUUGCAUCAUUUGUGAAAGUGAAGCAAACCUUCCUCUACUGUACAGAGUGUGUAUGCACUUCGCAGCGAGGAACGCGCCCACGUUGCUCUAGAUGGAAGACCUCCGAAACACAGGUCUCCGCAGGCCUGUAACCUUGGCUGAGGCGCAUGCUCAGUUCAAACUCAGCAUCAUCAGCAUUUCAGCCCUUCUUUGCAGCUGCACUCUCUGGGGCCAAAAAUAAAUACGGU